RNAcentral lists this transfer RNA (122 nucleotides) under Didymella glomerata. Its description in RNAcentral is "Peyronellaea glomerata tRNA". It matches the Rfam family "tRNA". From Rfam's summary of the family: Transfer RNA (tRNA) molecules are approximately 80 nucleotides in length. Their secondary structure includes four short double-helical elements and three loops (D, anti-codon, and T loops). Lineage: Eukaryota; Fungi; Ascomycota; Dothideomycetes; Pleosporales; Didymellaceae. The record is from Rfam by way of RNAcentral.
GGGCUCGUGGUUUAGUGGUAUAAUACUCCCUUAGCAUCUAGAGUCUCGCAGCUGCAUCGCAGCCUACAAGAUAUCGAAAUCCUGACUGGGAGUGGUCCGGGGUUCGAUUCCCCGCGAGUCCA